RNAcentral lists this ribosomal RNA (543 nucleotides) under uncultured bacterium. RNAcentral describes it as "bacterial SSU rRNA". It matches the Rfam family "Archaeal small subunit ribosomal RNA", at positions 726 to 1267 of the family's 1478-position model. The record is from RNAcentral.
AGUAAAUAGAUACCCGGGUAGUCCCAGCCGUAAACGAUGCUCGCUAGGUGUCAGGCAUGGCGCGACCGUGUCUGGUGCCGCAGGGAAGCCGUGAAGCGAGCCACCUGGGAAGUACGGCCGCAAGGCUGAAACUUAAAGGAAUUGGCGGGGGAGCACAACAACGGGUGGAGCCUGCGGUUUAAUUGGACUCAACGCCGGACAACUCACCGGGGGCGACAGCAAUAUGUAGGCCAGGCUGAAGACCUUGCCUGAAUCGCUGAGAGGAGGUGCAUGGCCGCCGCCAGUUCGUACUGUGAAGCAUCCUGUUAAGUCAGGCAACGAGCGAGACCCGUGCCCACUGUUACCAGCAUAUUCUCCGGAAUGAUGGGUACUCUGUGGGGACCGCCGAUGUUAAAUCGGAGGAAGGUGCGGGCCACGGUAGGUCAGUAUGCCCCGAAUCUCCGGGCUACACGCGGGCUACAAUGGAUGGGACAAUGGGUCCCUACCCUGAAAAGGGCUGGUAAUCUCACAAACCCAUUCGUAGUUCGGAUCGAGGGCUGUAAC